This is an RNA transcript of Cydia fagiglandana, 2761 nucleotides long. It is a transcript of the gene named matrix metalloproteinase-14, with no coding region annotated. The record is from RefSeq and is a predicted model, not a curated record. The transcript has 13 exons. NCBI's taxonomy places the organism in Eukaryota, Metazoa, Arthropoda, Insecta, Lepidoptera, Tortricidae.
UAACAAAAACUCAACAACGUCGUUCAAGCAUAUCACCACGCCCGAGCUAUGAAUAGAUAGUUUAUCCAGUAACGAUACUUUAAAUAUAUACUAUUUUUACAAGUGGUAAUGCCAAUUAAGAAUUAAUUGGCCUAGUGAUAAUUGAAGGUGCAUUUAGAACAAAAAAAAUAGUACCAAUGUACUUAUCGUUAACAAUAAAAGGGAGCAAAACUUCAAGACACAUGGCGUUCGUGAGCCUGAGGAGCACGUUGCGGAUAGGGCUGGCGGCGCUGACCGCGCUGGCGCUGGUCGCGCGCGGCAGCGCGGCGCCCGCCUUCGCCGGCACCGACAACGCCAUGAUGUACCUGGCGCAGUACGGGUACUUAAGCCCGGCGGUGCGCAACCCGUCCAGCGGGCACAUCAUGGACGAGAGCUCGUGGCGGCGCGCCAUUGCUGAGUUCCAGAGCUUCGCUGGACUCAACGCGACAGGCGAGCUGGACGAAGAGACGACGCAGGUGAUGUCGCUGCCGCGCUGUGGCGUGCGGGACAAAGUCGGCUUCGGGGAGAGCCGUGCCAAGAGAUACGCGCUGCAAGGGUCCCGGUGGCGAGUGAAGAACCUGACCUACAAGAUCUCCAAGUACCCGUCGAAGCUGAACCGAGCGGAGGUGGAUGCCGAGUUGGCUAAAGCGUUCAACGUGUGGGCCGACUACACCGACCUCACCUUUACCCAAAAACGAUCUGGACAAGUCCAUAUCGAAAUAAGGUUUGAAAAGGGAGAGCACGGGGACGGCGAUCCGUUUGACGGGCCCGGCGGCACUCUGGCUCACGCUUAUUUUCCGGUAUACGGUGGUGACGCGCACUUUGACGACGCAGAGAUGUGGUCUAUCAACUCGAGGAGGGGAACUAACCUUUUCCAGGUGGCUGCACACGAGUUCGGACAUUCGUUAGGUCUCUCGCACAGUGACGUUCGUUCCGCGCUCAUGGCGCCCUUCUACAGAGGUUACGACCCCGCCUUCCAGCUAGAUACGGACGAUAUUCAAGGCAUUCAGGCACUAUAUGGGCGUAAAACUCAGACUGACAUCGGAGGUGGUGCGCUGGCCCCGGCUGCGCCGCGGCCCACCACGGCACCGCCGUCGGCGGAGGACCCCGCGCUGUGCGCCGAUCCUAAUAUCGACACUAUAUUCAACUCUGCUGACGGAAACACAUUUAUAUUCAAGGGUGAACAUUACUGGCGGUUGACUGAGGACGGAGUGGCAUCAGGGUACCCGCGCCUCAUCUCGCGCUCCUGGCCCAACUUGCCCGGCAACAUCGACGCCGCCUUCACCUACAAGAACGGCAAGACUUACUUCUUCAAGGGCUCCAAAUACUGGAGGUACAAUGGACAGAGGAUGGAUGGCGAUUAUCCGAAAGAAAUAAGCGAAGGUUUCACUGGUAUUCCUGACAACUUAGAUGCCGCGCUCGUGUGGUCCGGAAACGGCAAGAUUUACUUCUACAAGGGCUCUAAGUUCUGGAGGUUCGACCCUGCGCAGCGGCCGCCGGUCAAGUCCACCUACCCCAAGCCGCUCUCCAACUGGGAGGGCAUCCCCGACAACAUCAACGCCGCCCUUCAAUACACUAAUGGCUACACCUACUUCUUUAAGGGAGGCCAGUACUGGAGGUUUAACGACCGGACGUUUAGUGUGGACUCGGAUAAUCCCGCGUUCCCACGCAGCACGGCGUUCUGGUGGCUGGGCUGCACGAGCGCGCCGCGCGGCACAGUUGGAGGUAACGCGCGGCUGUCUGCCCCCGCGCCGUCGGAAGACGACGUCGGCGAGAUUCAGUUCGACGCAGGUGUAAAUCCAUCCGCUCCCAGAUCAUUCUUCUGGUUCAGGAAAUAGUCUCCGUGGAGCAUUUCUGAACAUUGUAUAUAGAGAAAUUGCAUACAGAACAAAGACUCAAUUAGUUACAUAGGAGAAUAUAUGCGAAUACCAGUGAGAUUAUAGAGAUAAGCAGUGAUUUAGAGCGGCCCGCUUGUCACGCGCUGACUAUGUGGUGAAACCUGUCAAGCCAGUGGCGUGGGCAUUGCAUAUUGUUAUGAAUUGAAUGCGCUUCCAGUUGUGCGUAGCAAGUUCGCCUCUCAGCUAUGCGUUACUACGAAUACGACGUAAGAUUCUAAUUAUGCAUGUACAAGUGUGAAAUGCACUUUCUAAAAUAACUCUUCACCCACGGUUUAAACUGGAAUCUAAUUCAUUAUUUAGAAAAAAUAUAGGUGUGUAUAUAUAUACGAAUUAACUAUAUAUUGAUGUUAUCAAAAUGCACUGUAAAUAUAUUUUAAUCUCAAAACACUUUCGUAAACUAACUUAUACUGGCAAGUGAACGAUUUGUUACUAACUAAUUAUACAACACGUUUUUUAGCAUGAAUGAUACUGACUCCACUGUAGUAAAUAAUGUAAAAAUACACUUUAACAGAGUUCAAGCGAUAUUUGUUUUUAAAACUCAACUGUUUAAGAGGUAAAUUCUUAGAUUGAUGUACAGCCUUCUAAUCUAAGAAUCCUAUGAACAUGGAACUGAGUGUGUCCAGUGCAUGUGUACAUACGUGUGUAGAAUAGUUAUAUUAAGAAGUAGUUACACGUAGUGGGUCUGAUCAAGUAGUGGCUAGAGGGUUUUGGUUGCGGUGGAUUAAGUAUCCUUUUUAAGGGAAAGUUAAUGUUUCAGUGGUCAGCGUCCAGUCGGGCGGCGCUAGACUGUAGUACUUGAGCGGCCGUGAGCCGUGUUAUAUAGGAGGGCUCCCUCCGCCGCGACA